CGGUGGCUGAACUUAGUGGAGCUGAGGAGCUGAACUGGAGGGUCUCUCUGAACACUAGAGUUUUGCUUGGGACAAUCUUGUGCACGGUGCAAGAGGGUUUUUGAAAUGGUCUUCAAGUACCAGCAAACCUGGAAUUCUGAGCCAUCAUCUUUUUGGCAAGGCAAAACCUGAAGAAGCAGAAGAACUUUAGAUCCAGAAAAAGUGGAUAAUUUGUCAAAGGUCACACAAUUGGCAAGUGACAGAAGUGAGAUUUGAACACAGGUCAGGCUUCCAGACAGAAAGAUACAAACUAGGCUGGCCCUACUUGAGGUUCCUGAAGGGAAAUACUGAGAAGAUACCAGAAGAGCUGGCAGUGUCCAUAAGGUUCCUAUCCACAGAUCCUUGGUAUACUAGAGAUUUCAGGUUUUCGAUAGCUGUAGCUGGAUCACCUGCAGGAGCAGUUGCCAGAAUGCAAUUCCAGACCUGUUCCUUUCCUGGAUAACUAUGACAGAGGACACUGGGUUAUUGCUAUUUUUAAGGCUUUUGUGGUCAGUAUUCUGGGUGGACUUUAUCAAAAUCAUAUGGGAGAUGUUGGUCAAGUUGGUGGCAAUGUUCUGACUGGCUUGAUUCAUGUUUAUUUUCCUAAGAGACUUCUAGGAAAUAAUAUAACAUUUUUUUCCAGAAAAGCUUCCAUUUUUGAUGUUUUUGUUUAAUUAUUUUUCUUUGUCAUAAAGAAGUGUUCAUUUUGGAGGAAGAUUAGAAAUUGACUGAUACAAAGACAAAAUACAUCAAUAAAACAUAUUAACAAAAAAAGAUGAUUUAUAGU
RNAcentral lists this long non-coding RNA (805 nucleotides) under Monodelphis domestica (gray short-tailed opossum). RNAcentral describes it as "lncRNA (ENSMODG00000047685.1)". Lineage: Eukaryota; Metazoa; Chordata; Mammalia; Didelphimorphia; Didelphidae. The record is from RNAcentral.